ACGGGUGAGUAAUGCUUAUCUAACUUGCCAAUUAGUGGGGGAUAACCAUGGGAAACCAUGGCUAAUACCGCAUUUGUUACUUCGGUAAUGAAAGAGAGUCGCAAGAUUCUCGCUAAUUGAUAGGGAUAAGUCGUAUUAGUUAGUUGGUGGGGUAAUGGCCUACCAAGACCAUGAUGCGUAGCCAGUCUGAGAGGAUGAAUGGCCACAAGGGAACUGAGACACGGUCCCUACUCCUACGGGAGGCAGCAGUGAGGAAUUUUCGGCAAUGGGGGCAACCCUGACCGAGCAAUACUACGUGAAGGAGGAAGGUCUACGGAUUGUAAACUUCUGUUAGCAGGGAAGAAGGGCUGGACGUGAGUUCAGUUUUGACGGUACCUGCAGAGAAAGCCACGACUAACUACGUGCCAGCAGUCGCGGUAAGACGUAGGUGGCGAACGUUAUCCGGAAUUAUUGGGCGUAAAGGGUGCGUAGAUGGUGUAAUAAGUUAUCAGCGGUAAAUCGGGGCUCAACCUCGUGGAAGUCGGUAAUACUGUUAUACUUGAGUGCAGGAGAGGUUAACGGAACUCCAUGUGGAGCGGUAAAAUGCGUAGAUAUAUGGAAGAACACCAAUAACGGCGAAGGCAGUUAACUAUUCUGUUACUGACAUUGAGGCACGAAAGCGUGGGGAGCAAAAAGGAUUAGAUACCCUUGUAGUCCACGCCCUAAACGAUGAGUGCUAGAUAUUGGGAACUUGAUUCUCAGUGCCGCUAGGUAACCCAGUAAGUACUCCGCCUGGGUAGUACGCUCGCAAGAGUGAAACUCAAAGGAAUUGACGGGGACUCGCACAAGCAGUGGAGCAUGUGGUUUAAUCCGAUACAACGCGUAGAACCUUACCAAGGCUUGACAUGUUGGGCAAAGCUAGGGAAACCUAGUGGAGGUUAUCCUAACACAGGUGCUGCAUGGCCGUCGUCAGUUCGUGCCGUGAGGUGUAUGGUUAAGUCCUAUAACGAACGCAACCCUUGGGCUUAGUUGCCAGCAUUAAGUUGGGGACUCUGAGCCGACUGCCUGAGUAAUCAGGAGGAAGGAAAGGAUGACGUCUGGUCGUC
RNAcentral lists this ribosomal RNA (1085 nucleotides) under uncultured bacterium. Its description in RNAcentral is "bacterial SSU rRNA". It matches the Rfam family "Bacterial small subunit ribosomal RNA", at positions 102 to 1194 of the family's 1533-position model. The record is from RNAcentral.